This 503-nucleotide ribosomal RNA is filed under the name uncultured bacterium. RNAcentral describes it as "partial 16S ribosomal RNA". It matches the Rfam family "Bacterial small subunit ribosomal RNA", at positions 28 to 523 of the family's 1533-position model. The record is from RNAcentral.
GAUGAACGCUAGCGACAGGCUUAACACAUGCAGGUCGAGGGGCAGCAUAGAAGUAGCAAUACUUUGGUGGCGACCGGCGCACGGGUGAGUAACGCGUAUGCAACCUGCCCCCAACUAAGGAAUAACCUUGCGAAAGUAAGACUAAUACCUUAUAAUUUCCUCAGAUGACAUCUGACGAGGAAUAAAGAUUUAUCGGUUGUGGAUGGGGAUGCGUCUGAUUAGCUUGUUGGCGGGGUAACGGCCCACCAAGGCAACGAUCAGUAGGGGUUCUGGAAGGAAGGUCCCCACCAGUGGAACUGAGACAGGGUCCAAACUCCUACGGGAGGCAGCAGUGAGGAAUAUUGGUCAAUGUGCGGAAGCCUGAACCAGCCAAGUAGCGUGCAGGAUGACGGCCCUAUGGGUUGUAAACUGCUUUUAUACAGGAAUAAAGUUAGCCACGUGUGGUUAUUUGUAGGUACUGUAUGAAUAAGGACCGGCUAAUUCCGUGCCAGCCGCCGCGGUAA